UUUUGUUUGUUUGCCUGUUAUUCUCACUAAAUACGGAAAAAGAGCUCUGCAGAAAGGCCUUUGUGAUGCUACUUCUUAAAAAAUUAAAGUGCAAUUUAUGAGGAAAUUAGAUUCAGAUAGGAUAAAUAAAAUGGGUCUAAGCAUCUCAAAUUUUGAUGCCAAUCAUGAAAUAUUUGGUAUUUAAAUAUUUUUAUUAGCUUAGUUCUAAGGGCCUAAACUUCUACUUGGA
Molecule: long non-coding RNA, 229 nt
Filed under: Bos taurus (domestic cattle)
Lineage: Eukaryota; Metazoa; Chordata; Mammalia; Artiodactyla; Bovidae
Description: long non-coding RNA NONBTAT015263
Source: RNAcentral